ACGGGUGAGUAAUAAAUGGGUAAUUUGCCUCUUUGUUCGGGAUAGCCAUCGGAAACGAUGAUUAAUACCGAAUGUGUUCAGGAACUUCAUGGUUCCUUCUAUAAAGGCGGGGAAGCUUCGGCUCCUGUCGCAAAGAGAUAGGCCCAUUUCCUAUCAGCUUGUUGGUGAGGUAAUGGCUCACCAAGGCUUACGGGUAGCUGGUCUGAGAGGAUGGUCAGCCACACUGGGACUGAGACACUGCCCAGACUCCUACGGGAGGCUGCAGUCGAGAAUCAUUGUCAAUGCACGAAAGUGUGAACAUGCGACGCCGCGUGGAGGAAGACGGCCUUUGGGUUGUAAACUCCUGUCAGCAGGGAGUAAAAAUAGAUCACUUAAUACGUGUUUUAUUUGAAAGCCCCUGCACAGUAAGUCACGGCUGAGUCUGUGACAUCAACCUGGCUAGUACUGAGGUGGGAAACGUUGUUCAGAUUUACUGGG
This 477-nucleotide ribosomal RNA is filed under the name uncultured Verrucomicrobiota bacterium. RNAcentral's name for it is "bacterial SSU rRNA". It matches the Rfam family "Bacterial small subunit ribosomal RNA", at positions 102 to 558 of the family's 1533-position model. The record is from RNAcentral. Lineage: Bacteria; Pseudomonadati; Verrucomicrobiota.